This 447-nucleotide ribosomal RNA is filed under the name uncultured bacterium. RNAcentral describes it as "partial 16S ribosomal RNA". It matches the Rfam family "Bacterial small subunit ribosomal RNA", at positions 29 to 523 of the family's 1533-position model. The record is from RNAcentral.
AGCGAACGCUGGCGGCAGGCCUAACACAUGCAAGUCGAGCGCCCAGCAAUGGGAGCGGCAGACGGGUGAGUAACGCGUGGGGAUCUACCCAUUGGUACGGAAUAACCCAGGGAAACUUGGAUUAAUACCGUAUGAGCCCUUCGGGGGAAAGAUUUAUCGCCAAUGGAUGAACCCGCGUCUGAUUAGCUAGUUGGUGAGGUAAAGGCUCACCAAGGCGACGAUCAGUAGCUGGUAUGAGAGGAUGAUCAGCCACACUGGGACUGAGACAAGGCCCAGACUGCUACGGGAGGCAGCAGUGGGGAAUAUUGGACAAUGGGCGCAAGCCUGAUCCAGCCAUGCCGCGUGAGUGAUGAAGGCCUUAGGGUUGUAAAGCUCUUUCGCCGGUGAAGAUAAUGACGGUAACCGGAGAAGAAGCCCCGGCUAACUUCGUGCCAGCCGCCGCCGUAA